Molecule: ribosomal RNA, 292 nt
Filed under: uncultured bacterium
Lineage: Bacteria
Description: partial 16S ribosomal RNA
Rfam family: Bacterial small subunit ribosomal RNA
Source: RNAcentral
GUGCCAGCAGCCGCGGUAAUACGUAGGCAGCAAGCGUUGUUCGGAAUUACUGGGCGUAAAGAGUGUGUAGGCGGUGCUCCAAGUCUGUUGUGAAAUCUCCCGGCUUAACUGGGAGGGUGCGGCGGAAACUGGAAUGCUUGAGGAUGGGAGAGGAAAGCGGAAUUCCUGGUGUAGCGGUGAAAUGCGUAGAUAUCAGGAGGAACACCCGUGGUGUAGACAGCUUUCUGGACCAUUUCUGACGCUGAGACACGAAAGCGUGGGUAGCAAACAGGAUUAGAUACCCUCGUAGUCC